UUGUGUCUUCGAGUCGUUGAUUUCACACUGCCGAGAAAAGCCUCUAGAUAGAAAAUAGGUGCCCGUACCGCAAACCGACACAGGUAGUCAAGAUGAGAAUUCUAAGGUGAGCGAGCGAACUCUCGUUAAGGAACUCGGCAAAAUGACCCCGUAACUUCGGGAGAAGGGGUGCUCUUUAGGGUUAACGCCCAGAAGAGCCGCAGUGAAUAGGCCCAAGCGACUGUUUAUCAAAAACACAGGUCUCUGCUAAACCGUAAGGUGAUGUAUAGGGGCUGACGCCUGCCCGGUGCUGGAAGGUUAAGAGGAGUGGUUAGCUUCUGCGAAGCUACGAAUCGAAGCCCCAGUAAACGGCGGCCGUAACUAUAACGGUCCUAAGGUAGCGAAAUUCCUUGUCGGGUAAGUUCCGACCCGCACGAAAGGCGUAACGAUUUGGGCACUGUCUCAACGAGAGACUCGGUGAAAUCAUAGUACCUGUGAAGAUGCAGGUUACCCGCGACAGGACGGAAAGACCCCGUGGAGCUUUACUGUAGCCUGAUAUUGAAAUUCGGCACAGCUUGUACAGGAUAGGUAGGAGCCUUUGAAACGUGAGCGCUAGCUUACGUGGAGGCGCUGGUGGGAUACUACCCUAGCUGUGUUGGCUUUCUAACCCGCACCACUUAUCGUGGUGGGAGACAGUGUCAGGCGGGCAGUUUGACUGGGGCGGUCGCCUCCUAAAAGGUAACGGAGGCGCUCAAAGGUUCCCUCAGAAUGGUUGGAAAUCAUUCAUAGAGUGUAAAGGCAUAAGGGAGCUUGACUGCGAGACCUACAAGUCGAGCAGGGUCGAAAGACGGACUUAGUGAUCCGGUGGUUCCGCAUGGAAGGGCCAUCGCUCAACGGAUAAAAGCUACCCCGGGGAUAACAGGCUUAUCUCCCCCAAGAGUUCACAUCGACGGGGAGGUUUGGCACCUCGAUGUCGGCUCAUCGCAUCCUGGGGCUGUAGUCGGUCCCAAGGGUUGGGCUGUUCGCCCAUUAAAGCGGUACGCGAGCUGGGUUCAGAACGUCGUGAGA
RNAcentral lists this ribosomal RNA (1047 nucleotides) under Staphylococcus aureus. RNAcentral describes it as "partial 23S ribosomal RNA". It matches the Rfam family "Bacterial large subunit ribosomal RNA", at positions 1578 to 2626 of the family's 2925-position model. Lineage: Bacteria; Bacillati; Bacillota; Bacilli; Caryophanales; Staphylococcaceae. The record is from RNAcentral.